UAAUACUUAAUACAACCAUAACUUUGGGUAUAUUUAAACCCUAUCUAUGCAUUACAUUUUAUGGAUGCUAAACAUGGUGAAUAUUGGUGUUGGAAAAUUGCUUUUUUUAGCUCUGUUGCUAGUGACUGCAUCUGGAACAAUGGAGUUGAAACCGUGUGGGCUAUGGUCGUGCGACUUUGAUGAAGACUGCUGGGACCCACGUUGUGGGCUUAAGUGUCUUAACUUCACUACUUCUGCCUCAGGGAUCAUUCUGCAGCUGUGUGCAAAUCCUCCACCAUAUCUAUAAUCUAUCUUACAUGUUACCAUGUAUUAAAAGAAAAGUGAAUGUAAAUAAAUUCAACGAUCAGAAGAAAAUUAUUCACUAUUAAAUUAAAA
This is a long non-coding RNA of Salvia miltiorrhiza (redroot sage), 375 nucleotides long. RefSeq lists it as uncharacterized. Lineage: Eukaryota; Viridiplantae; Streptophyta; Magnoliopsida; Lamiales; Lamiaceae. The transcript is spliced from 2 exons. The record is from RefSeq and is a predicted model, not a curated record.